ACGAGUUAGGGUCCUCUAGGCCCGACCUCCCAACCCUUUGCUUACCGAACCUCUGUUGCUUCGGCGGGCCCGUCUCACGACCGCCAGAGGACCGCCGGAGGACCGCCGCAGGGCGUGUCCUCUAGCCCGUGUCCGCCGAUAGCCAACUACAAAACUCUGUAUAAAUCAUGUCUCAUGUCUAAGUCAAAUUGAAUUAAAAGCA
This 202-nucleotide unclassified non-coding RNA is filed under the name soil metagenome. RNAcentral describes it as "partial internal transcribed spacer 1". The record is from RNAcentral.